RNAcentral lists this long non-coding RNA (287 nucleotides) under Lathyrus oleraceus (garden pea). RNAcentral describes it as "Pisum sativum (pea) long non-coding RNA (PSAT_LNC006959)". Lineage: Eukaryota; Viridiplantae; Streptophyta; Magnoliopsida; Fabales; Fabaceae. The record is from RNAcentral.
AUUUUUCGAGCGAAUUAGCGCCUGACUUUUAUGCAUAUUUAAUUGUUUUAUUUUUUGUUUCUAUGUUUAAAUUUUCAGAUUAAAUAACUACAGUUUUAUUUAAUAUUGAUUAAGAUUUUAAUAGACAUUUUUCUUUACUAAUAAUUUAUAAUAAUUAGUUUUAAGGGAAUGUGACAGCUAUUUUAAGUCUCUUUCACCUCACUACACACACAUAAUCACUCACCUACCACUACGUCUCAAAAUCUCUCUCACAUUAACGGUUACAAAGAAAAUAAAUUAAAGAGCGC